AUCGCUUCUUGGCCUUUUGGCUGAGAUCAAGUGUAGUAUCUGUUUUUUAAAAAAUAUUUCUUUAUUUUCCUUUUUGUUGCCCUUG
Molecule: non-coding RNA, 85 nt
Organism: Erinaceus europaeus (western European hedgehog)
Lineage: Eukaryota; Metazoa; Chordata; Mammalia; Eulipotyphla; Erinaceidae
Source: Rfam